Vitis vinifera (wine grape) is the source of this 131-nucleotide small nucleolar RNA. It matches the Rfam family "Small nucleolar RNA snoR74". NCBI's taxonomy places the organism in Eukaryota, Viridiplantae, Streptophyta, Magnoliopsida, Vitales, Vitaceae. The record is from Rfam.
AAAAAAGCAGGGGCCUGUCGAUUUUUAUGGAUGGUCCUCUCGUAAACUUCAGGGAAAUUAGUUGCAUUGUUAUUGGGUGAACCUCCUGAGUUUUGUCUGUGAUUGAAGGUUCAGUAAAUAGUGUUACAUUA